RNAcentral lists this ribosomal RNA (1440 nucleotides) under Triticum aestivum (bread wheat). Its description in RNAcentral is "partial small subunit ribosomal RNA". Lineage: Eukaryota; Viridiplantae; Streptophyta; Magnoliopsida; Poales; Poaceae. The record is from RNAcentral.
AUGGGUUCCGACGCGGCCGCGGUGAGCACCGUGCGGGAGGCCGCACGCAUGGUGUGGAACGAGUCCAAGCGCCUCUGGGGCAUCGGCACGCCCAUCGCCAUCGCCACGCUCAGCAUGUACGCCGUCAGCUCCGUCACCACCAUCUUCGUCGGCCACCUCGGCAACCUGCCCCUCGCCGCCGCCUCCAUCGGCCUCUCCGUCUUCGCCACCUUCUCCCUCGGAUUCUUGCUCGGCAUGGGGAGCGCUCUGGAGACGCUGUGCGGGCAGGCGUUCGGCGCCGGCCAGGUGGCUAUGCUCGGCGUCUACCUGCAGCGCUCCUGGAUCGUCCUCCUCGCCGCCACGCUCCUCAUAGUGCCCUUGUACGUCUUUGCCGAGCCGCUCCUCCUCGCCGUCGGCCAGGACCCCGUUCUCGCGCGCGAGGCCGCCCGCUUCGCGCUCUACAUCCUCCCCGGCGCCUUCUCCUUCGCCGUCAACUUCCCCACUGGCAAGUUUUUGCAGGCGCAGAGCAAGGUCCUGAUGCUCGCCUGGAUCGGCGUCGCCGGCCUCUGCUUCCACGUCGCGCUCACCUACCUCCUCGUCACCGUCCUCGGAUGGGGCACCCCGGGCGCCGCCGCCGCCUACGACCUCUCGCUCUGGGCCAUCGCGCUGGGACAGUCCGCCUACAUCAUCGGCUGGUGCAAGGACGGCUGGAGGGGCUGGUCCAUGGCCGCAUUCAACGACAUGUGGGCGUUCGUCAAGCUCUCACUCGCGUCUGCCGUCAUGCUCUGCCUUGAGAUUUGGUACCUCGGCAUGAUCACCGUCCUCACCGGCAACCUCCAGGAUGCGCAGAUUGCCGUCGACUCGCUUGGCGUCUGCAUGAACAUAAACGGGUGGGAGUGUAUGAUCUUCAUUGGCCUCAAUGCUGCUAUCAGUGUUCGGGUCUCCAAUGAGCUGGGCUCUGGCCGUCCAAGGGCAGCGAUGCACGCCGUUGUCGUCGUCAUCGCCGAGUCGCUGCUCAUCGGGCUGCUAUGCAUGGCCCUCGUCUUGAUCUUCAGAGAUAACUUCGCCAUCAUCUACACGAGCGAUUUGGAGCUCCAGCAUGCCGUCUCCAAGAUUGCAGGACUGCUUGGCUUGACCAUGGUGCUCAACAGCGUGCAGCCUGUGGUUUCAGGGGUUGCUAUUGGAGGAGGAUGGCAAGGCCUUGUUGCAUACAUCAACCUAGUCUGCUACUACGUUUUCGGGUUGCCCUUGGGCUAUCUUCUCGGAUACAAGUUCAACUAUGGAGUUGGGGGGAUUUGGGCUGGCAUGCUUUCCGGGGUUGCACUUCAGACACUGAUCUUACUCUUCAUCGUGUGGAGAACAGAUUGGAAUGCAGAGGUUGCACUAGCUUCAAGCCGUGUGCGAAAGUGGGGCGGCAUGGAUGGAACCAAACCUCUGCUGGAAAAUAACUACAUCACCUAA